RNAcentral lists this ribosomal RNA (565 nucleotides) under uncultured bacterium. RNAcentral's name for it is "partial 16S ribosomal RNA". It matches the Rfam family "Bacterial small subunit ribosomal RNA", at positions 355 to 913 of the family's 1533-position model. The record is from RNAcentral.
UGGGGAAUUUUGGACAAUGGGCGAAAGCCUGAUCCAGCAAUGCCGCGUGUGUGAAGAAGGCCUUCGGGUUGUAAAGCACUUUUGUCCGGAAAGAAAUCCUUGGCUCUAAUACAGUCGGGGGAUGACGGUACCGGAAGAAUAAGCACCGGCUAACUACGUGCCAGCAGCCGCGGUAAUACGUAGGGUGCAAGCGUUAAUCGGAAUUACUGGGCGUAAAGCGUGCGCAGGCGGUUUGCUAAGACCGAUGUGAAAUCCCCGGGCUCAACCUGGGAACUGCAUUGGUGACUGGCAGGCUAGAGUAUGGCAGAGGGGGGUAGAAUUCCACGUGUAGCAGUGAAAUGCGUAGAGAUGUGGAGGAAUACCGAUGGCGAAGGCAGCCCCCUGGGCCAAUACUGACGCUCAUGCACGAAAGCGUGGGGAGCAAACAGGAUUAGAUACCCUGGUAGUCCACGCCCUAAACGAUGUCAACUAGUUGUUGGGGAUUCAUUUCCUUAGUAACGUAGCUAACGCGUGAAGUUGACCGCCUGGGGAGUACGGUCGCAAGAUUAAAACUUAAAGGAAUUGA